Neofelis nebulosa (Clouded leopard) is the source of this 1708-nucleotide long non-coding RNA. RefSeq lists it as uncharacterized. The record is from RefSeq and is a predicted model, not a curated record. NCBI's taxonomy places the organism in Eukaryota, Metazoa, Chordata, Mammalia, Carnivora, Felidae. The transcript has 3 exons.
GCAGCCUUGGGGCCUGCUGCUUUACUCUCCCUGGGAGCAAAGUCCCCCCCUUCCCCCCCAGCAGCCUGGGGGUGGUGGGGAGACAGGCGGGAGAGAGAGCAGGCUUUCCCCACCCCACCUGGGACUGGUGCUAACAAGCUCCCAUUGGCUCCUACUGGGCACCCAGGCUUUUCACCCCUUAACUCCUCUCUUAAAGCCCAGAGCCCACCCCGAUUUGCAGAUGAGAAGACUGAGGCCCCGACAGGAGGUGCAGGGCUGCGGGCCGAGGGCCCUGCUGCACAUUCCUCACGGCCAUGCGGCGAGGUCGGGAGUUAUCGUCCCCAUUUGUGAGCUAGGGAAGCUGAGGCUCACAGAAGCGCCAUCGUCAUUUUGAUGAUCUGCACCCCUUCACCCCCUCCGGUCGGAGGUCCCCACUGCAAGGACCCCAAGGUCCCUGAGGGCCCGGGGGUCGCAACCCCAGCAUUUCAAACAGCUUGAAACCAAGCAAGAGCCAACUACGUUAUUUGUUGAAGGAACCAGAGAGGGGUGGGGAGGAAUCAGGAUCCGAACCGCAGUCUGUUUGGGAAUCCAGUGCGUCUAUCCACUCAAGCGUACGGUCUCCUUAAAUGGCCAAGGAUGAGCUCUUUAUAGAUUUGGGAGAAUAUACCACAAACUGCCAAAGUGCCUCCCUCUGAGGAGUAUGUGGAAGGAAACGGGGAGGGAGCUUUUGUUUUUUUUUUUUUUUUUUGAACCGUAUGUAUUUCUAUAUUUAUUUGAAUUUUUCUAAGGCCCACGUAUUACUUUCAUAAUCUAGAAAGUGAUGCAUGCAGGAUUAGGUGAUUCUCCCCCCUUCUCGGUGAACUCUCCUUAACCCCUUAGAUCCAGACGCAUCACCUGCACACACGUUCCUCAGCUCACAGAUUCCUCCCCUCGGCCAAUGGUAGAGAACAUCAGCACAGCUUCAAACCAUCUGCUCCUACGCAGAACCAAGCUAAAAGAAGGAUUAUUUGAAAAACGUCCUUGGAAGCUGUGAGGCUCCGCCCGGGGAGGUGGGAGGCGUCAGAGUCACCUGGGAGGUUUUCCUGAACCGCACAGCCCUGGGGCCCCACCCCCAGGAUCGGUGGGUUGGGUUUUAAGUCUUGUGCAGGGCAAGCCACGGAGAGGACCACUGGUUUCAGGGACACACUACUAGAGAUCUCUACCUUGCUCCUUGGAUCAGCUCGGGCGGGGGCAAUCCCAUCCUCCCCAGAGCUGCUGGGCCUCGGGGGAUCUUUUGCAUCCAACGCUUAACUUCUGUCACCAGGGGCGACCAGAACUGCCCUCUGCACCGUUUAGGGCUUAACCAUCUCAACUCUUAGCACCCUCCACCUCAGCCUUCUUCCGUGGGGCCCCUGAAUCAGAGGGGGAAAGGGGCAGGAUCACAGCUGGUGCCAGCGACGGCUCAUCUAUGCUGCAGCGGAGGCCCUCGUGGUGGGAACCUGUCAGGCCCAUGAACGGUGGGCAGAAGAAAAGCUGAGAUGUGACACUGUGCACAGCAGCAUCUGAGAAGCUGCAGCAAGACACGGUCGGGAAAAUCUGACUCCCUAAAAGAACCACAAUUUUUUUCUCCUUUAGAAUAAAGAACUUGGUAAUGGACCAUUUCCCUUUUUGCCCUGGCUACCAGGAAGCUCAGAGGUCAUAUUUACUCUCAUAGCUACAUAGCUACUGCAUCUGUUUUUCAUUUCUUUCU